GGCCUCGUAGCUCAGCUGUCUAAAGCGUUGACUGUACUAAAGUCCUCCCCUUGCUGGCGUGGGUUCGAAUCCCACCAAGGCCG
Molecule: non-coding RNA, 83 nt
Organism: Schistocephalus solidus
Lineage: Eukaryota; Metazoa; Platyhelminthes; Cestoda; Diphyllobothriidea; Diphyllobothriidae
Source: Rfam